AUUGAACGCUGGCGGCAUGCCUUACACAUGCAAGUCGAACGGCAGCACGGGAGCAAUCCUGGUGGCGAGUGGCGAACGGGUGAGUAAUAUAUCGGAACGUGCCCAGUCGUGGGGGAUAACGCAGCGAAAGCUGUGCUAAUACCGCAUACGAUCCCUGGAUGAAAGCGGGGGAACGUAAGGCCUCGCGCGAUUGGAGCGGCCGAUAUCAGAUUAGCUAGUGGGUGGGGUAAAGCACAACCAAGGCGACGAUCUGUAGCUGGUCUGAGAGGACGACCAGCCACACUGGAACUGAGACACGGUCCAGACUCCUACGGGAGGCAGCAGUGGGGAAUUUUGGACAAUGGGCGCAAGCCUGAUCCAGCAAUGCCGCGUGCAGGAUGAAGGCCUUCGGGUUGUAAACUGCUGUUGUACGGAACGAAACGGCGAGCUCUAAUAAAGUUUGCUAAUGACGGUACCGUAAGAAUAAGCACCGGCUAACUACGUGCCAGCAGCCGCAGUAA
RNAcentral lists this ribosomal RNA (500 nucleotides) under uncultured bacterium. RNAcentral's name for it is "partial 16S ribosomal RNA". It matches the Rfam family "Bacterial small subunit ribosomal RNA", at positions 30 to 523 of the family's 1533-position model. The record is from RNAcentral.